This 522-nucleotide ribosomal RNA is filed under the name uncultured Leptothrix sp. RNAcentral describes it as "bacterial SSU rRNA". It matches the Rfam family "Bacterial small subunit ribosomal RNA", at positions 8 to 527 of the family's 1533-position model. The record is from RNAcentral. Lineage: Bacteria; Pseudomonadati; Pseudomonadota; Betaproteobacteria; Burkholderiales; Sphaerotilaceae.
AGAGUUUGAUCCUGGCUCAGAUUGAACGCUGGCGGCAUGCCUUACACAUGCAAGUCGAACGGUAACGCGGGGCAACCUGUCGACGAGUGGCGAACGGGUGAGUAAUAUAUCGGAACGUGCCCAGUAGUGGGGGAUAGCCCGGCGAAAGCCGGAUUAAUACCGCAUGAGACCUGAGGGUGAAAGCGGUGGAUCGCAAGACCUCGCGCUAUUGGAGCGGCCGAUAUCAGAUUAGGUAGUUGGUGGGGUAAAAGCCUACCAAGCCGACGAUCUGUAGCUGGUCUGAGAGGACGACCAGCCACACUGGGACUGAGACACGGCCCAGACUCCUACGGGAGGCAGCAGUGGGGAAUUUUGGACAAUGGGCGCAAGCCUGAUCCAGCCAUGCCGCGUGCGGGAAGAAGGCCUUCGGGUUGUAAACCGCUUUUGUCAGGGAAGAAAUCCUUUGGGUUAAUACCUCGGAGGGAUGACGGUACCUGAAGAAUAAGCACCGGCUAACUACGUGCCAGCCGCCGCGGUAAUACA